GUUUUGAUUAUGGAGCCGUUCGCGCCAUUGGGGUCAGAAUGUCACUCAUCCACGCAAGUUACUGCGUUUGCGGUUUUUUGGUCAUGGUCUGUCAUGUCACAUAUAGGGUCCAGCUGACAGAGGUUGCUUUAAAACGUUAGUUUGGCAGAACCCAGUCGGAGGAGUCGCAAUAAGAGACUACAACAACGGCUAACAAAUAUGCCCCGAGUUUCAACCAACCGACACAAAGGCUACAAGUACCAAGCCGAAAACCUGGGAAUUAUAUCUGGUUAAAGUUGUACGCGAAAUGGAUUAAAUGGACGGGUUAAUUUGGACAACAGAAACUAUUAAUGUGGCAACAGGAGCCCAAAUGCCUUAAAAGCACGACCGCGCCGCCGAAUAUACAUCCGGUAUUUUGUGCGCAUUGGGGACGGCAGGGGGAUAUGCAGGUGCCACGGCGUGCGUAAAGGCAACGGGACUGUCAUACCGCCGUAUGCUCUGGGCUCUGCAAGCGCUGGCCAAGGAAUGUAUCGUCGAGGUCCUCAUCUUGGAACCGUUCCUGGCCAGCCUCAGAGCUUUGUUGUGGUUAGGAUUCCCCCCACAGCUAAGGAGGCUUACCAAUGGACAUACCUUCUGGAACACGCGCAACUGAGACUUCGUUCAUGACAGCCUGAGUUCAGAGGGGCUUUACCUACUACCGAGGACUAACACUCCGUGCCCGGCUCUUCAAAGCCCGGCUCCUGUCAUACGGAGAACCAGAGUUUGCACAGCGCUUUGGUGGUAUAAGUGUAUGGUGAAACCUUGCUGUGCCCUCGAAAAAAAAGCCCUGGAUCUAAAUCCAUGAAAGCCUACACACUGUCACACCAUUACCGUUUGCGGCCCAAGAAACGGCUCCGUUCAGGAGCAGAACACGGACAUUGAGGGACCAAAUGCUCGCCCCCGUCGUCUUUUAGGUUUCGUCCUUUUUAAGGUUUCGUGAAACACGUGCAUAGA
Long non-coding RNA from Gadus chalcogrammus (walleye pollock), 972 nucleotides. RefSeq lists it as uncharacterized. NCBI's taxonomy places the organism in Eukaryota, Metazoa, Chordata, Actinopteri, Gadiformes, Gadidae. The transcript is spliced from 3 exons. The record is from RefSeq and is a predicted model, not a curated record.